GGUCCGGGAGAGACCAGGUGUUUGGAAAUGGCGCCGAAGGGGAAUGCAAAAACUCUCAGGCAAAAGGGCC
Molecule: non-coding RNA, 70 nt
Filed under: pig gut metagenome
Description: Glycine riboswitch
Rfam family: Glycine riboswitch aptamer
About the family: This family represents the bacterial glycine riboswitch. Glycine riboswitches usually consist of two metabolite-binding aptamers domains with similar structures in tandem.
Source: RNAcentral